Molecule: long non-coding RNA, 664 nt
Filed under: Nicotiana benthamiana
Lineage: Eukaryota; Viridiplantae; Streptophyta; Magnoliopsida; Solanales; Solanaceae
Description: long non-coding RNA (NBEN_LNC037893)
Source: RNAcentral
UUGGCACUUGUGAAGGCUGUCAUCAUCCUGGAAGUCAUCACAGAAAUGACUCAUUUUGUCGACCCUUGGUAUGAUUUGCUUCCUUCCAGCCUGCUUUAUGGCUCAGAGAGGAACAUAAGGAUAAGCUCCUCUCAGAACAAUGAGUAUGAGAAAUGGUGCGUCUCGAGAUCGAACAAUGAAUUCUUCCGUAGGAAACCACUCGACCAUCCACUGCACUUGGUCUUCUUUCAGAUUCUCAAAUAACUCUACCCAUCCUCCAGCGUCCUCUGGCUGAGCGAACAUAUUAGACAUAUAAUUCAUACGCCUUGGCUGGUGGAAGGCGAUAUGGUCAUCCCAGUUUCUGUGUAGGAUCUCUUGCCGGUAAUCACCCUUCUGAAGGUGCUCAGUGAGCCAAAGCUAAAGCAGUAGGUUGCACCUUUCAAAAUGUUUAGCCCCUUGUUGACACUUUUCUAGGGCUCGGUACAUCUUAGCAACGAUCGUAGGAACUAUAUUGAAAGGCUAUCCACCAAUCCCUUCCAUCAAAGCCUUGGUUACUAUGGCCAGUCUGGUGUGGAUCCUAGCCUUCUUCAUUGGGAACGCUAUUAUCCCGGGAAAUAAAACAUGAAUACAAAGACCUUUCUAUGAAUAUGCCCUAACGAGGUGAGGGUAAAUUCGUCUGAGUAUG